Molecule: ribosomal RNA, 451 nt
Filed under: uncultured bacterium
Lineage: Bacteria
Description: bacterial SSU rRNA
Rfam family: Bacterial small subunit ribosomal RNA
Source: RNAcentral
ACGCUGGCGGCGUGCCUAACACAUGCAAGUCGAACGGAGCACUUCGGUGCUUAGUGGCGAACGGGUGAGUAACGCGUGAGCAACCUACCUUUCAGUGGGGGACAACAGUUGGAAACGACUGCUAAUACCGCAUGAUGUCAUCGGGGGACAUCCUCUGGUGACCAAAGCUUUAUGUGCUGAAAGAUGGGCUCGCGUCUGAUUAGCUAGUUGGUGAGGUAACGGCUCACCAAGGCGACGAUCAGUAGCCGGACUGAGAGGUUGAACGGCCACAUUGGGACUGAGACACGGCCCAGACUCCUACGGGAGGCAGCAGUGGGGAAUAUUGCACAAUGGGCGCAAGCCUGAUGCAGCAACGCCGCGUGAGGGAAGACGGUUUUCGGAUUGUAAACCUUUGUCUUUGGUGAAGAAGAAAGUGACGGUAGCCAAGGAGGAAGCCACGGCUAACUACGUG